This 305-nucleotide ribosomal RNA is filed under the name uncultured bacterium. Its description in RNAcentral is "bacterial SSU rRNA". It matches the Rfam family "Bacterial small subunit ribosomal RNA", at positions 338 to 639 of the family's 1533-position model. The record is from RNAcentral.
CCUACGGGAGGCAGCAGUGAGGAAUAUUGGUCAAUGGGCUUACGCCUGAACCAGCCAAGUCGCGUGAGGGAAGACUGCCCUAUGGGUUGUAAACCUCUUUUGUCAGGGAGCAACGCCGGCUACGUGUAGCCGGACUGAGAGUACCUGAAGAAAAAGCAUCGGCUAACUCCGUGCCAGCAGCCGCGGUAAUACGUAUGGGGCAAGCGUUAUCCGGAUUUACUGGGUGUAAAGGGAGCGCAGGCGGCCUGCCAAGUCUGGUGUGAAAACCCGGGGCCCAACCCCGGGCCUGCAUUGGCAACUGGCGG